Molecule: ribosomal RNA, 389 nt
Filed under: uncultured bacterium
Lineage: Bacteria
Description: bacterial SSU rRNA
Rfam family: Bacterial small subunit ribosomal RNA
Source: RNAcentral
GAUGAACGCUAGCGACAGGCCUAACACAUGCAAGUCGAGGGGCAGCGAGGAUGUAGCAAUACAUUUGUCGGCGACCGGCGCACGGGUGAGUAACGCGUAUGCAACCUACCCGACACAGGGGGAUAACCCGGAGAAAUCCGGACUAAUACCGCAUAAAGCAGGGGUCCCGCAUGGGAAUAUUUGUUAAAGAGUUAUCGGUGUCGGAUGGGCAUGCGUUCCAUUAGCUAGUUGGUGAGGUAACGGCUCACCAAGGCAACGAUGGAUAGGGGUUCUGAGAGGAAGGUCCCCCACACUGGUACUGAGACACGGACCAGACUCCUACGGGAGGCAGCAGUGAGGAAUAUUGGUCAAUGGACGGAAGUCUGAAACCAGCCAAGUCGCGUGAAGGA